UUCCUUUAGUAUAUAUUUAAAGGUAUUGCCUGCCCUAUGUUAAAAUAAAUGGCUGCGGUAUCUUAACUGCACUAAGGUAGCAUAAUUAAUUGUCUUUUAAAUGGUGACCUGUUUGAACGGCUUAAUGAGAAAAAAAUUUUCUUUUAAUUAUAAUAAAAUUAUAUUUCAAGGUUAAAAUACCUGAUUAUAAAAAAAAGACGAGAAGACCCUGUUGAGUUUUACAUUAAUAAUAAUGUUAAAAUGGGAAAUUUAACCUUUUUCUAAGGUUUAGUAGAUCCUGGAAUAAUAUAUUCUGGAUAUAGGAUAAAGUUACCACAGGGAUAACAGGACAAUAUUUGCUAAGAGUUCUAAUCGAAGUAAAUGGUUGUUACCUCGAUGUUGAAUCGAAAUAUCUUUUUGAUGCAGCAGUCAAAAAAGUGGGUCUGUUCGACCUUUUAAAUUUC
This 443-nucleotide ribosomal RNA is filed under the name Notocomplana koreana. RNAcentral's name for it is "partial 16S rRNA". It matches the Rfam family "Bacterial large subunit ribosomal RNA", at positions 1829 to 2597 of the family's 2925-position model. Lineage: Eukaryota; Metazoa; Platyhelminthes; Polycladida; Notocomplanidae. The record is from RNAcentral.